GUGUACGGACAAACCAGCUGAAGAAUGCCCAAUCUUGUUUGAUCUCAGAAGUUAAGAAGGCUUGGGCCUGGUUAGUACUUGGAUGGGAGACUACCUGGGAAUACCAGGUGCUGUAAGCU
This is a ribosomal RNA of Denticeps clupeoides (denticle herring), 119 nucleotides long. The record is from Ensembl. Lineage: Eukaryota; Metazoa; Chordata; Actinopteri; Clupeiformes; Denticipitidae.